RNAcentral lists this unclassified non-coding RNA (363 nucleotides) under rhizosphere metagenome. Its description in RNAcentral is "partial ribosomal RNA internal transcribed spacer region". The record is from RNAcentral.
GUAGGUGAACCUGCGGAAGGAUCAUUAUACGUUUAUCCAACGUACCAACCAACGCGAAUUCGUUUCCCCGUCUGUGUGUCGAGCUUUUCGAGACGAUCAAAAUAUGGUGGGAGAGGCAGCAAUGCUUUUCUGUUUGAUUGUCGGGCGUUCGCGCCAAAAGUUUGGCUUUUAUAUGCACAGCUACCAUUUUUAUAUUCCACAUUUACAAACGCAUUGUAAUCACUUGUACUAAACAUAAAAACAUCGUCUUUGCGUGCAGGCAUACACAAACGCUUUAAAAACGUUUUUUGUUGUCCCGCGUGCAUCGAUCGAACAAAGACAUUAAUUGCUGAACAACUCUUAGCAACGGAUAUCUUGGUUCUC